Sinocyclocheilus anshuiensis is the source of this 1583-nucleotide long non-coding RNA. The record is from Ensembl. Lineage: Eukaryota; Metazoa; Chordata; Actinopteri; Cypriniformes; Cyprinidae.
CCACGUUUGAAAGCUUUGAAAUUGUGCUCUCCUUUUACCCAAUAGUUGUUGUUUUUUUAUUAAUUCAGUAUAACGGUUUUAGGGAUGAGCAGCGAGCACCUUAAAUGACUGGACAAUCUUUUAAUAUAUUAUCAUUUAUUUAUUAAUUUAGGUGUUUUGCUGAUAAUUUAUUUGGGUGGUGUAAUGAUUUAUUCAUAUAUUUGCAUAACUGUUGGCCUGGGCUAAAAUAGUUAACAUGGUGCUGUUGAGAGCUGUUAGUCAGAUGGAGGGAUUAGAACAGUGUGAUUUGAACUUCCUGUGCUACAGUCAGCAUGUCAAGCACAAGCAGAGAUAAAGACAUCAGUCGCGCACCAGAAACGGGGCAGGCCACCCCAGUGGCAUAACAGGAUUCUCUCCAGCGCCCCACACAUCACGCUCUUCACAGUGUGUGGGGGUGUGGGGUUGGGGUUCUGUAGCCGUCUCCUUCUCUAUGGGCCUCCUCAUUCUUUCCUAUGUGUUUAUUUCUCAACCUUUCUCUCAACACAUGUAACUGUUUUUUUUAUCUGCUCUCCGCAGCGCGUGGCGCUCAGUCCAGACGAUGACGGAUUCCCCUGAGGGUGAUUCUUGUAGUUGCUCUCUCCUUCUCCGUCCCUGAAUCCAUGCGUCCUUUAGUCCUCCAUCUCUCCUUCCGUCGAGGAGGUCGCACGAGACAACGCAGCAAGGCACAGAGAGCCAAAAGGACACGAGAGCACUUGCUCUGCACAGCCGAGAGCUACAAACUGGCACUGCAGGGACUCGCCACGCUGCUCCUUCACCCCACUCCACUGUGACUAACAUUCGUAAUAUCCGUAACUCCUCCUCAUCACUGUCUACCUGUCAUCCCCAUCGGCCCAACAUUGCUUUUGAAAGGGCUACCAUUCUUUUAAAAUGGACAAUACACUGGACAAUAUACUGGAACCUCUCCUGGAACAGUGCUCUUUAGUUUGGUGGACUUGUAGAGCUGAACCGCUGAUGAGUCGGGUCCUCCACACCCAUGGUAAACAUUCCCGUCUGUUCUCUUUGUGACCUGUGUGAAAAAAAAAAGACUUCUGUUUUGGUUUGCCCCUAUGAGAUCAUGUUGACAUGAUGUAUAUUACUUGAACUGUUCAUUUUUUGUAUGGUUUGUAGGGGGAGGAAGGAGGGCCUGUUAUUCCUGUCAUUUGAGGAAACAUGCGUCCCGGUCAUUCCAUAGCUGUAUGGAGGCAUUUUGUACGCUGUUUGUUGCACAAACUUUUUCAAGAAGCCUUCUGCACUGUGUAAAUUAUUACAUAGGAUGGGGGGAAGGGUAGCCGUUGCAGUCAAAUGAGUCUGAAUCAUGAUUUGUAAAUAUGUUUUCAUACAGCAAAACUUUUGAUAAGGUUUUAAACAUUUCUUGUAAAAAGAAGAUGUGUAUAUUAGUCUCCUGGACAAAAAAAAGAGUGUAGACCAUACAUGGAUUUAUUUGUACUCGAGAGCACUGGAUUUCUUUACUACUUGAUUGUAACUAAAAAUUAAUAAUCUGCCAAAGUGUUUGUAUUUUUUUUUCUUCCUCCUGGUCUUAAUUUGAUUUUUGCUUUUUAACCGUA